CUCUACACUAUAGUAGGUCCCAGGCUUCCUGUGUGUGCCUCCACUCCUCCCUAUCGCCUAGCCCUAUCCCAGCCAGCUCUAUUGUGUGAUACAAUCACUCAGCAGCUGUGGCCCAUUUGUAAAAGGGAGGGGCCUGCAUGCUUAACUCUUGGCUACGUAAGAGACCAUGUCUACCAGGGGAAUUAGCAGAUCAGCUCACAGAGCAACAGAUGUGGCCCACACCCAUUCAAGGGAGAGAGAAAAAAAAAACACAUUGCGCAUGGGUCUCCAACUUAACACUACUGUCAACUUAACAGCAAAACAGUUGCACAAAAUCCUCAAGGAAAGGGAGUUAAAGGAAAACUUAUUGCUUGACUUGGAAUUGUAUUGACUGACAUCAUCAUGAAGGCAUCAACCACAGCGGGUCCGGCGUUACCAAUGACAUCGCCAGAAACAUUCGAACAAGGAAUCAUUGAGGUUGUCACCCGUCUGGUCACACAGAAUUUCACAGAACACUUCACACAACCCUUCAGAGCUGGAGUUCUGACAACAACUUCUGCAGAUAUGACUGAAACAACCUCAGCCGCUUUUUUAGUGGGAGCCGCCAACGUAGAUGAUGGAUCCUUUGAAGCCAUUAUUUUCGGAGGAGGAAUUUUUGCGCUGCUCCUGGCGCUGCUCCUGGCGUUGCUGGUACUGCGCUACAUUGUCAAGCAUAAGGGCACUUACCACACCAAUGAGGCCGAGUGUGGUGAUUCUGUCGACAAGUAUGGCAGGGACUCUCAAAGCGAGCAGGUUCAACUAGAGAUUUUGGACAAGGACGAAUAGAAAGAAGAAUACUUCAUUUGAAACAGGACUUUUUCCGUUUCUAAACCAGGGCCAAUAUUUUCUAUGGAAUUGGAAAUGCCUAUGAUGGUCAUCUAAUUUCAAGACAACAUUUAUAUGGGGCCUACAACCAUCUCAGCUCUGCAGAUAUUGUUACGAAGAGACAAAAUAAUUACAUCACUUAUUUUUGUAUUGCCCAUAUAGUAUAUACACUAUAUACGCAAAAGUAUGUGGACACCCCUUCAAAUUAGUGGAUUGGCUAUUUCAGCCACAUUACAGCCUUAUUCUACAGCUUUAUUUCCCUCAUCAGUCUACAUAAAAUCUCAUAAUGACAAAGUAAAAACAGGUUUUUAUCAAUUUUUGCAAAUGUAUAAAAAAAAAAUUCUGAAAUAUCACAUUUACAUAAGUAUUCAGAUCCUUUACUCAGUACUUUGUUGAAGCACCUUUGGCAGUGAUUACAACCUUGAGUCUUGGGUAUGACGCUACAAGCUAGGCACACCUGUAUUUGGGGAGUUUAUCCCAUUCUUCUCUACAAAUCCUCUCAAGCUCUGUCAGGUUGGAUGGGGAGAGUUGCUGCACAGCUAUUUUCAGGUCUCGGGUUCAAGUCCGGGCUUUGGCUGGGCCACUCAAGGACGUUUAGAGGCUUGUCCCAAAGCCACUCCUGCAUUGUUUUGGCUGUGUGCUUAGGGUCGUUGUCCUGUUGGAAGGUGAACCUUCACCCCAGUCUAAGGUCCUGAGUGCUUCAUCAAUGAUCUCUCUGUACUUUGCUCAGUUCAACUUUCCCACGAUCCUGACUAGUCUCCCAGACCCUGCCACUGAAAGAUAUCCCCACAACAUGAUGCUGCCACCAUCAUGCUUCACCGUAGGGAUGGUGUCAGGUUUAAUCCAGACGUGACGCUUGGCAUUCAGGCCAAAGAGUUCAAUCUUGGUUUCAUCAGACGAGAGAAUCUUGUUUCUCAUGGUCUGAGAGUCCUUUAGGGGCUUUUAUUGGGCAAACUCCAAGCGAGCUGUCAUGUGCCUUUUACUGAGGAGGGGCUUCCGUCUGGCCACUCUACCAUAAAAGCCUGAUUGGUGGAGUGCUGCAGAGAUGAUUGUCCUUCUGGAAGGUUCUCCCAUCUCCACAGAGCAACUCUGGGGCACUGUCAGAGUGACCAUCGGGUACUUGUUUACCUCCCUGACCAAAGCCCUUCUCCCCCUUUUGCUCAGUUUGACCGGGCGACUAGCUCUAGGAAGAGUCUUGGUGGUUCCAAACUUGUUCCAUUUAAGAAUGAUGGAGGCCACUGUGUUCUUGGGGACCUUCAAUGCUGCAGAAAUGUUUUGGUACCCUUUCCCAGAUCUGUGCCUCGACACAAUCCUGUCUCAGAACUCUAUGGACAAUUCCUUCGACCUCAUGGCUUGGUUUUUGCUCUGAAAAGCACUGUCAUCUAUAGACAGGUGUGUGCCUUUCCAAAUCAUGUCCAAUCAAUUGAAUUUAUCACAGAUGGACUCCAAUCAAGUUGUAGAAACAUAUCAAGGAUGAUCAGUGGAAACAGGAUGGACCAGAGCUCAAUUUCGAGUCUCAUAACAAAGGGUCUGAAUACUUAUGUAACAUUAGAGUGUCUAGUUUGAGAAACAGACGUCUCACAAGUCCUCAACUGGUAGCUUCAUUAAAUAGUACCAGCAAAACACCAGCCUCAACCUCAACAGUGAAGAGGCGACUCCGGGAUGCUGGCUUUCUAGGCCAAGUUGCAAAGAAAAAGCCAUAUCUCAGACUGGCCAAUAAAAGUAAAAGAUUAAGAUGGGCAAAAGAACACAGACACUGGACAGAGGAACUCUGUCUAGAAGGCCAGCAUCCCAGAGUCGCCUCAUCACUGUUUAUGUUGCUCAGUUGUGCACCAGGGCCUCCCACUCCUCUUUCUAUUCUGGUUAGAGACAGUUUGCACUGUUCUGUGAAGGGAGUAGUACACAGUGCUGUACGAGAUCUUUAGUUUCUUGGCAAUUUCUCGCAUGGAAUAGCCAUCAUUUCUCAGAACAAGAAUAGACUGACGAGUUUCAGAAGAAAGUAAUUUUUUCCGGCCAUUUUGAGCCUGUAGUCAAAGCCACAAAUGCUGAUGCUCCAGAUAUUCAACUAGUCUAAAGAAGGCCAGUUGUAUUGCUUCUUUAUCAGAACGACAGUUUUCAGCUGUGCGAACAUAAUUACAAAAAAGUUUUCUAAUGAUCAAUUAGCCUUUUGAAAUGAGAAACUUGGAUUAGCUAACACAACGUGCCAUUGGAACACAGGAGUGAUGGUUGCUGAUAAUGGGCCUCUGUACGCCUAUGUAGAUAUUCCAUAAAAAAUAUGCCGUUUCCAGCUACAAUAGUCAUUUACAACAUUAACAAUAUCUGCACUGUAUUUCUGAUCAGUUUGAUGUUAUUUUAAUGGACAAAAAAAAAUGCUUUUCUUUCAAAAACAAGGAAAUUCUAAGUGACCCCAAACUUUUGAACGGUAGUGUAUGCUCAAAGUAUUAACAUCCCAAAAUACUGUAUCGGUGACUAAAUGUGGUCAAGUUUAUGUUGAAGAUAAUUCAUGUCUGUUGUUUUAUCACAUGAAAAUGCCAUUCGAUUAGGUGUGGGUAUGUAUCAAGCUACACAUUUGAUACAUUUGCACAGUCAUUAAUUAAAUCAGCCAAACUCUUUUUUCCCAAUUAAGAGUUUACUUGUAUACCCAGUCGAAAAAUCUGAUUAUUCAACACAACAUCUGAGUUCAGGAAACCAAGAUAUAGGGGCAAAUGUUGUCACUUCAAUAGUGUGUGUUAACGAGAUUUAGAAGCUUAUGGAGGAUUUUGUGUUUUCUAUUUUCAUCAAGCUAGAAUAGAGCAAUGCAGUGCCCGAGGCUGCUGAAGGGCAGUUCUGAAUCCUUGAGUAGCGCCAGGCAGCACUAUGUGGGUUUAAUGCAAUUCGAACAACCCCAGAAACGUUCCUGCAGAACUGAGCCAGCACACUUUGCAAAAAAAACAUUGUGCCUCUGGGAAAUCGUUUUACUCUAAUUGCGCAUUAUUCUUGGUUGGGAUACAAGACAAUACAAGCCAAUCUCAAGAUCAUACAUCACCUGAUCUACGAGCUGGCAAAGAGCACUUACUUUUGGCCAUUUGAUUGCAAGUUGAAAGUAUUUCUUUCCAUUUGUCUUCCUAAUCAAAGUAUGGGACAAUUGCUAACCUUUCUCCAAACAGAUUUUUCCUUCAAUUCUCUAAUCAAGUCCAACUUCAAAGCCAGUGACUCAGCGUGUGUUUGAGUGCAGUAGCUUGAGUGCUCUGUCUGAUUGAGGUAAAGACAAUGAAGCCAUUGAGACAUCUAUCCAACUGCCGUCCUCACCGACAACAUAUCAAAUCCUAUUGAUCAGAGAGGAAAACACUUACAAAAUAUGUGCCCCAAAUGGCACCCAAUUUCUUCUUUAGUGCACUAGGCUACUUUUGACCAGGGCCCUAUGGGGGAAUAGGGUGCUAAAUAGGGAAUAGGGUGCCACUUGGGACCCGGCCGUGACUUCACCAGGGCCACUGACACCUCUCGAGGAGAUUAACAACUUUUCUAAAAGAGUUAUUCCAGGGUCACUGAAGCCAUAGCUUGGCCUAGACAGCUAUAUAGAAGCACCAAGUGCUUGAAAGGCAAUAAUCAGGAAGUCAGCCUUGCAACCAGCCGCACUUCCCGUUCAAUGUAUUUUUAUGAUUAGAAAUCAAAUAACAGUUCAAAAGACACCCAUCGUGUUCUCUUACAAUUGUAUCCCAGCUUUCCUCCUGGCCUUGGUGUGCAGAGAACAUUCUUUUUUAUUGUGACAAUAAGCCAUACUUUGAUAUGGCCCUGAAGGCAUCAACAUAAAUUCCUCUCAUCCCGACUGCUCUGUGAAGCUUGAACAAUGGCAAAGCCGAAAGCUGGUGACUUUUCCAUCUCUUCUCCUACUGUCGACAAAAUGGCAUAAAAUACAAAUACAUGCUAGCAUUCUCCAUGGAUGAAUGUGGCAUGCGACUGUACUCACCUAAAGACAUCAACGAUGAAAACACUUUGAAUUUCUUUUGAACAAUGUAGCUACCUCACUCUCUUUGAGUUGUAGCUAAUUCCAGUAAAAGAGGAUACAGUACAUUAAUUAAUGAAUGACUUGACUUGGAAGCCCAUGGUACCGUAGUCUGAGUUGUGUAGAUUAUCUCCCUUGUUAGACAAUAGGCUAAGUCUUGGGUGCGUCCCAAACAGCACCCAUAGAGCUCUAGUCAAAAGUUGUGCACUACAGAAUGUACAGGAAAUAGGCUGCCAUUUGGGACGGAGACCUGGAUGUGUUCAGACAAAUGGAAGAAGAAUGGGAACAGGAAAUUCAUUGAAUCAUCUUGUCAUUGAAUCAUCUUCUUAGAAUAUCCCCAUGGCUUACAAUAUGCACGCUCCCAAAUGCAACCCUAUUCCCUGGUCCCUGGUCAAAAGUAGUGCAUUGCGUAGGGAUUAGGGUGCCAUUUGGGAUGCACUUUUAAGGUUCUGGGGCUCUUGAGAAAGGAGAGUUUUGCAUAAUACAGCAGCAAUAAAACAGAAAAUGCUAAAUUCCAGCUCAUCCAAGUGUUGCUCUAUUGUAUUCUUCAGCGAAUAUCCUAUAAGCUAUAAUGAAGAUAUGUGACUUAGCCCCUGACAUGGCAAGCUUCCUAGGAGAAAGGACUUCCAUUCCAGACUCAAUUACUAUUGCAAUACGUUUCCGCUAUGGAUAUUGAAUAUUGCAAGAUAAGCAGGUCUCGCAAAAUUGCUAGCACAAAGUCUGCGCCGGGGUUUAUGCUAAGGCUUUUUACGCUUCUGUUCAAAGGUGCAUUGGGAAGGUUAUGAAGUACAUUUUUGGGGGGGGGCAGGGUUACAGGAAUAAAUAAUACAGUACCUGCCUGUGAAGAUGGAUGCUUCAUUGUUACAGCCAGGAAUAGUUCCUGCACUCAGCACUUCUCCAAAGAAGUGAAUGUCAAACUUGUGAAUGUCAAACUUGCAGGGGAUCCCCAACAGAGCAGCGUUAGAGAACUGUUCAACCAACUCAGUGUUAAAGAUGAAAUCCGCAUAAGGUGAAACAGCGCCAUUGUUAGCCCUCAGUGCAUUUGUCAUGAUUUUUGUUCUGUUGAUGAAACAGAGUAGAGGAGCAUCCAGUAUCGUGGUAAAACAAUAUUCCAGUACAUACUCUGUGUUCUAUCGCACGUGCAAUGAUGUGCAACGAUGUCAGCGGGGGAAAAAAACUGUGUUCGUAGUUUGAAGUAACUUCUUUGUUGUUGUAAUAUCGCAAACGGACAUGGCCGUUUCACCAAGUACGAAUUCCAGCUUUAAAACAGUGUUCAACCAAUGAAGUGUUAAAACAGUUUUUAGAAGAAUUCACAAGCUUGUAAUUGCAAAACUAGGCAGAAAUGAAGAAGAAAAGUGAUUCAGAAAAGAGGGAACAAAUGGUGUUAUUCUUUGAACCGCUUUUAAUUAAGUCUGUUCCUUUCUGUUUACUUUGAUGAAUCAUUGUUUCCCUAUUAGGCUCACUGUACCAAAGAGAGCUGCAUCUCCAUAAAACUAAAGGAGACAUCAUCCCCAUUAACAACUGUUACUAAUUGAUAUACCUAUAGUUUGGUUUUGAAAGAUUCAUACAACACAAGAACAGUACACUGCCCUCUGAUCCCAGAGGGCAGUGUCUCCAAGAAUACUGUCUCCAAGGAGGCUGCCUGCCUGCCUGUAUACCUGCCUUCUUGCCUUGAUGCCUGUGUGGCUGGCUUCCUGUACAGAUAGCCUAGCAGGAGGGAGCCUGCCUCUGCCUGCCUGCCUCUCAGCCUGCCUCUCUGCCUGCCUCUCUGCUUGGUGCACUCAGCAGUAAGAGGUGAUAUAGGCCUAAUCAUUAUUACUCUAUAAUAACUGAUAAAUAAUCCUCAUAUGAACGGUCACUAGGGGAAAUUGGCUUUUGUUAUUUCAUGUCUAACCGCAUUGCACCUACAGAAACCCAAUUAGCAAAACAAGUCAGCCAGCACUGAAUCAUCGGCAGGUAGUCUGCUAGGCUAUAUUGUCAUGAACAAACUACUGGAAUUCUGUUUGUGUAUAUAUGAAUGGGUUACUUUGGGUCCUAGAGUAUGUUAACUUUUUUAAUGUACUGUAGUUCCAUCCAUUAAAAAAAUUAUAAUAAUAAUUACUGAUUUUUGAGUACAGGCAUACCAUUGAAAUGUCUCUGUACUUUCUUCUCUCUCUCAGUGUGAGAAGCCAGUUCCGAGUUUCAGUUCUCUUUCCAGACUUAGUUGUUGUGACAAACAUUUGACCAGAUAAUUCAGUUCCCUGGGUGUAAUUACUCAGUUGACUGCAGGCACAUUUAGAUUUAAUUAAAAGUGAGAGUCCAAUAUCACUUGUCAUUGCACCUGACACCCUGGCGUUAACUUUGCAGCUUUGCAUUCAUUAGAGCAGGCAGUCAUUUUGUCACAUCUCCUUUGGAAUUGCCUAAAGUUGUAUCUUAUUUACAGCAUAAUCCUACCAGAUAUAAUAUAGUGCACAUCCUUAGGCAUGAAAGUAACAAAACUGAGGUGGGUAUGUGUGUGUGUGUGUCUGUGUGUGUGUGUGUGUGUUGGCAGAGGCCUUCCAGGUUCCCCUUCAGUCAUAUCACGGUAGGAGCAUGGCUGUGUCUUUGCACUGCCAAUUAUCACUCCGGAAAUUCACUAAACAGACUAAGUACAUCACACACACACACACAAAUCCGCUUUAAAGCUUUGUCUCUAAUUAGAUGAAACAGGAAAAAUAGAUCUCACAAAACAUCUUGCUCACCUUACAUGGUGAGGCAUCUUCAGCAUCUAUUCGACACUCUCUUAGAAGGCCAGAUACAUUUCCACUGUCAUUUCUGAUGUGGACUGACUCAAUGUUACCGGAUUGUCAAAAUUAAAUUGAAUUCUUUAGAACAGAUAGCUACAACUCUUCAGGGAAAUAUCCAGAGACAAUAUAGUCUAUACAACAGCAACGAAUACAAAUGAAUAAAGAUAGUGCUAAAGUAACUAUUCCUAAUAUUGAGUACAUCCCGGUGCUUAAUGGUAAACACAGCACCUUGAUGUGUGAUCUGCUUUUUUAUUAACACUAUUUUCCUGUGGACAAAGAGAGUUAUGCCACUAACUGGACCAAUAGCCUUGUUUGGUAUGCACGUCCACCGGAGGCCCCAAACAUAACAAUUCAUCGGUUCUAGUUCUCCUUUGUGUCAGAUCCCACAUUUCAACUCAAUUAAACCCCAUUUUAUUACAGAGCUGCAUCUGCGGCAUGAGUGUGACUAAUUGAAAAGUGAACGGAAAGGAAAAGCAAUUUUCUCACCUAGAAAUGACUCAUCACACAAUGCAUUUUCUUUUUCUCAAAUCGAACAAAUGGUUCAAGCCUCUGCUCGAAUUUAGGAACAGUGAGCCUCAUUAUCCAGUUGGAAAGGUGGUUGAAUGAUGCCAAUUUAUCCAUCAUUACAUAUAACAGAGCUUUCUCUCUUUGUGCUCAUUCGCCAUUAGAUGAGAAAAGAAGAAUUGCAUCAUUUCACACAGACAGGGAAAAUACAGUUAAUUGUUCAAGUGUUCUUGUUAAAGCCUCUUAAUCCUAGGAUUUAAGAGUGAUUAACAUUUGUUCCAUAAUAUUUAACAAUGGACUAAAAGCUGUCAUGUUAAUCACAAGACAUCAUUAUAAGCUAGGAGAAUUUAUUUUAUAAUGGUUAGCACCAAUCAGUGCUAAAAGACUUGCACUCUCCUGGAUAAGCUCUUGAAACGUAAGUCCAUUCAUAAAAGUAAAUCUGUUUUUACUUUGCCUUUGACUCAUUCCAUUGGACCACCUCCACUACAGUAUUAGCAAGGAGUUUUAUAACUAACCCAAGACAGACAAGAGCCUGUCGUUUCCAACCUGAGCAAAUUAAUCAUAGCGUGCAGAUAGGCAAGAAGGUGGGCAGAGCCAAGCACGAGCUACUGAGAUCUUAUUGGCUCAUUAUUUGUAUAUUUCAGGUGCGCGUGUGCACUCUAAACAACGCGCUUUUUAGAAACUUUGGCAAAACGCAGUCCACUCUGUUUGUUACAGAUUUUAGUUUGGAAACAGAAACCUGUAUGGAGAUCAAAUGUUUCAUCGAUGAGAACAUUUGCAGAAUGUCGGCCAAAGUCCAUCUCGCUUGAUAUUCUCCCAUUGCCGGCCACUGGGCUUCCAUACUAGUGAGUGGAAAUGCCAACCGGAUGCUUCACGUUUAUGCAUCCAGUUUAAAUAUGGCUCAUCGUUCUGUCUGUGGUAUUAGAUUUUCUGUGAUAGUGAGACACUUCCCUCUUGUGGUGAAAAUGAUACUGUAAUUGUAUGGAAGUAAAACGUUCUGACUGCGCCACCCAGUGGUAAAUUCUAAGUAUUGCAAUGAGAAUACUGGAACACUUGUGAUCAACAUUCAUUCAAAACAACCACUCCUUAUGAAAUGAUCAUGUUUUCAACAGAGACGUGACAGUUGGUGAUAUAGUGGGGGAAUUACUAGUGCGAAGCAUCCUUUUCAGUCAACCUUAAAGUUCAAUUUUCAUUUUGAUAUGCUGUGCAGAGGUUAGGUUUAGAGUUGAGGUUAGGGAAUGUGUUAAGGUUAGGGUUCGAGGGGUUAACAUAGACUCUGGCCAUGGGAACUUAUUUGUACAUUUGAACUGUAUGUUGUCCUGUUAUGACCCGUAUGACUGUGUUUAAUAUCACUCCCUGACCACAUUUUAUAAAGUGCCUGGGGAAGUGAGGGCCUCCACCGUGGGAGAUUUAUGAUAUGGAUUUAUUUUAUUAUCAAGUAAUAAAAGUGGUCCGAACAUCUGUUUUAUUACUUUUAUAAAACAGGGGUGCCAAUACUGAUGGAGAAUUACGAGGCGAUAGACUGAUUUACUGGACAUCAGGACUUACAGCUGACUUGUAAGUCCCGACGUACUUCAAAAUUCCAAGUAUGGCAGUACCAAGUACCUCAAGUAAGGAAUGCAUGAUGGAUACCAUGCCAAACAAGCAAAAGCAAUAGGCUGUUGUAGGCUCAGAAAAAAAGUGUUGGCAGCAACAUACAAAGGACGCUUUAUGUUGCUCUUUACCAUCGAGCAAAACCCAGCAGGCCAGUCUAGCCCAAUUGGAAUCUUACCCUGAAUUCAAAGGUAUACUCUGCCAAUAACAGAGUGGGCUAGACUGGCAGAGAUGGAGUGUUUGUUUCUAGAAAUAAGUGUGUUUUGGAUGGGCACAUUCUGCUAGUAUUGAUAAACAGGUCUGUUGGCAGGCGGCUGAUGUGGGCAGGGGUUUGAGUUAGCUCAGGCCCAGACGCUCAGACCGUUCUGCUGGAGGGACGCCAGUGAAAUUCUCUGGCCUGCUAGAGGCAAACGAUUAUGUGAAGAAGAAGAGGGGUCCGGGCCGCCAAGAGCAUAAUUUCCCGUUAGAAUGGGAAUUAGAGGACCACACACUUAGUUCAAUCCCAUCAGUCACUAGGAAAACGGAUCGAUGAAGGAAGGAUGGACGAAGUGGGGUGCACAUGCAGAUGUGCUGAGUCACAGGCCAUUGUGACAUCCCUUCCUCUAUCUCAAAACAACAAAGAUCCAUCUAUGUGUUCCAAGCCAGGCCAAAGGAUGAUUUCAGAGAAGAGGACAGAGGGGGUAACAUCCGUGGAAUGGAAGAGUGGGGACAGGGUGGAGGAUUGGAUGUGUUGGGAUGAGGUAAAAAAAUUCCCUCACUCUGUCUGGACCUACUGUAAUAAGAUGGUUAUUGUUAACACAUUACACACACACACCAAUGGAGGCUCCUCAGACGAGGAAGGGGAGGACCAUCCUUCUCUGUGAAUUUCAUAAAAAUACAAAUAGUGAAACAAUAAUAAAAUGCAAUCCUUUUUAGAUAAAACUAUAGCAAAUAUAUUCAAACGUCACCAAAUACCUAAUUAAAACACACUGUUUUGCAAUGGUCUACAGUAAUCUCAACAGCACCCUCUAGGGUAGCACCAUGGUAUAGCCGGAGGACAUCUAUUUUCCAUCCUCCUCUGGCUACAUUGACUUCAAUACAAAACCUAGGAGGCUCAUGCUCCUCACCCCCUUUCAUAGAACUUCUGAAGGACGUCCUCCAACCAAUCAAAGCUUUUGCAGUAUGAACUAACAUGUUGUCCCCUCAAUCAAAGGAUCAGAGAACUAACCUAGUAGUACACAUGUGUGAUUUAGAAGCUUGGCGACAUUGUUGGAUAGAAUAGUGAUACAGUAGAUGAGCCUUUUUAGGUUACUAUUCAAUUCAAAUUAAUUUCUUCAAAACUACAUCAGAUGUAGGAGGUAGAUUAAUCCUUGCUUGGACUAACAAAUUCUUAGCUCUUCUGUCUAACUGUGUUGUGUUAUUGUUUUUUGUCUUCCCUGUUAAAUCCUGUCCCACCCUCAGUGGAAGAGUUGAGCUCUCCAACCUCAUCCAUCUGUGAUGAGCAUGUCCUGCACUGAAACCUAGCCACUGAACACCUCUACCCCUGUCCUGCACUGAAGCCUCUGAACACCUCAAACCCUGACAUGCACUGAAGUCAAGCCUCUCGAACACCUCAACUCAUGUCUUAUAACCUCAUUCAGUCACUGCUGUGAUCCCUUCACAACACUGUGUAAGUAUCAGCAUUCAACAUCAACUUUCAUUCCCAUUCCCCAUACUAUUUUACAAAAUAAUAGAUUUAGUAAAUCUUAGGGUUAAAAUAAUUUGUCUUUGAUGAUUUUUUAAACACGCUUUGUGGACUCCGUGCAGUCUGUGACUAUACUGUGGGUCUCCCAUCCUCCUACAUUUUCAAGGUGUCAGCCUCCGCUGACACCCAGAAUCAUAUUAAACUUCUAUACAACCAGAGCCUCCCAGCCUCUGAGGCAGAAUAAUUCAGAUGUGUUAAAUAGUAAAUAAAAAGGAGGAUUAAAAACUAGCUAAUUAAAACAUAAACAAUGAGUUUACUCACCUCUCUCUGUCUGCCCCAAUCCCUGCAAUCCCCUCUCCACAGGAGCAAAGAACAGCUUUAUGAAUACCUCCACACACACACACACACACACACACACACACACACACACACACACACACACACACACACACACACACACACACACACACACACACACACACACACACACACACACACACACACACACACACACACACACACACACACACACACACACACACACACACACACACACCGCCUAGUCUUGAGUAAACUGAAACACUGUAUGCCAGCUUUACGAAUGCCACCAGAAAAAAAAGUAGCUAAGUAGCUUACUAUGCAGAAAGCCAUUUAGUGCUCAUUGUUAUUUCUGGAUACUGUGAGAAAAAAUGCCAGAGGCAAUUUAGGCCAUUGCCUUUGAGUGGCUGUGUGGUCACUUGUUUUUACGAUGAGUCUGAAGCAGUGAAAUAGUACAUAAUGAUGUCUGGUUUGAGUAACACACACAAAACACACACACACACACACACACACACACACACACACACACACACACACACACACACACACACACACACACACCAGUAAGAGCCAAGUCCUGAGUGAAGUGAAGUGGAACACUACUACUGGACUCCUGAUCAGAGGACCGGACCUCACCUGGGUUUGAAAACUCACCAAGUCUGCCAAUGCCUGUUCCUGUUCAAACAACUUCUCUCUCAUUUUCCACCCAGAUCAUCUUGUCCCAAUUUUACGCAUUACUUGUGAUUUCACUUUGAGGUUGGUCCCAUACUGGCAGUUGUUAUUUCUGGGCAAAAUCAAACAAUAGCCUGAUCUUCACUUUGUAACGCAAUAGGGACAGGGUUUUUUUUUACUUUUUGUGUGGUGCUAGUGAAGUUCUCCACCUAAUUUAUUGCCUUCAGCAAGCUUAUAAAACUUAAAGCAUUUUGACUAAUUUAACACUAAGAGGAUACAGGUCUAAAAUGAAACAUAGAGACCUUUGACUUCUUAAGAUGACCCGGAAGAUGACUUACUUGACUACUAGGAAUCUUUGGCUCCUAUAAGGAGCAUAGCAGACCAUUGAUAAAUGUCCUUCAUCUCACUCCGUUUUGAGUGAGAUGUUCUUCCAGGUCACACCAGUUGAGGCCACUCUGUCAUUUCUACCUGGAUGUCUCUCUGUGGGAGAAUCUCAAUAGCAUACUUCUCGAGUCCUCUCUCAUCUCUCCUCACCUCCUUCUCAAAACCCAUUGGAGGAGAAGGUCAUAGGGGAGGGACCUCUGGCUUUCUCAUCCAUUGGUUUGUGAGAAAGAGGUGAGGAGAGAGGAGAGAGGAUGCGAGGGGUAUGCAAUUGAGAUUCUCUCCAAGCCUUUCUGGGUCGAGGUACAUGAGGUACAGAAGACAGUUAAAAAAUGUCACUCAAACAUUUCAUAGCUCUACAUGCUUUCAGAAAGAAUAAAAAUCACUGUCUCUAAGCAAGUUUAUGAAAUGUGUUUCAUAUUAGGGUUAUAUGAGUGUUUACAGCAGGCUUAGUGCCAAAUUAGAUUUACAGAACUAUCCAUAAUCGAAAGCUGUUAAAAAGUGAGCUAAGUGCAUAAUUGAGCAAACACUGUAAAGCUGAGAAUGCAUCAAAGGAACAUUCAUCCACACCUGGAUUACCACCAGAGAAACUGGCUGAGAAGUGUUUCUCUCUCUCUCUCUGAUUGGUUAACUGACAGAGGUUAUAAGGGCACCUCUGGCCACCUAGAGAGACAGAGGCACGAUUCAAUAAACGUCUUCCUCAAUUUGUCAAAUAGUCGGCAGUAGGCUACAUGCCAAGUUCAACUGGGCUAAACCAAAUAGCUAGCUACACUCUUAGAAAAAAAGUGUUCCAAAAGGGUUAUUCGGCUGUCCCAAUAGGAGAACCCUUUUUGGUUCCAGGUAGAACCUUUUUGGUUUCAAAUAGAACUCGUUUCGUUUAGUACCCUGUCAGGUAAGGGUUCUACCUGGAACCAAAAGGGUUCUACCUGGAACCAAAAAUGGUUCUUCAAAUGGUUCUCCUAUGGAGACAUCCGAAGAGCACCUUUUUUCUAAGUGUAUAGUAGCUUGUUAAAUAAAAGGCCAAACAUUUCAUGAAACGUUGUUACAUACAGCAUUUCAUAUAUCUUCUACAUUUUACCAAUAUUUUGGGAUAGGGGUUUUUCUUGCUUUUACCUGUUUGAGGUUGGCUCGCUGCCGAUUUCAAAUUUGAAUUCAGUGUCAUCACACGACAUCCGGUAAUGACCGUCUGUGGCUUUACCUUGAAGACCGUCUCCUAGAAGUUGGACUGAUGUGCCCAGUGGGUAGUUAACUCAACUUGCUAGCUGUGUUGAUGGACGUAUACAGAAAGUCAACAAAAAACUGUAAAGUAAGUUAAGGACAGAUAAACAUUAAACACACAAAGAAAUUAUUGAAAACACUGUACAUAAAAGUUUAUGCUUUUGGCUCAGUAUAUGGAGGGCCAAAACGUAUUUCCUCUCUAACAUGAUCGAUUUUAUGAAAUGACCAUCAGCCCUUUUACAGUUUUUUUUCAAUUGUUUAAGCACAAUUUUGAAAACAGGGCCCGGUUUGUCAAAACACUACACACAAUUAGCAGAACCCUACACCAAAGUAGCACAACACUUCAGAUCAUUUGCAAAAUGGAACACUUGUCAAAACUACACACAUAUUCUGUUACCAUACGAAACACACACAUUUCAUGACUUCAAUCUUUUUGAACCAGUUACACACUGCUGUUGCUAACCUAAAACACUUUUAGCAAGUCUAAUUGUCAGUGAUUAGAGUACUGUAAAUGAAGUACACAGAGAAAGUGCAACUAUACAAACACUACACAAGACCAAUGCUGCAGACUGAGGAAAAUAUCAUUUAUUUCUCUCCAUAUACCCAAAUCAGUCAACAUGUCAACAUGGAGAAUCACAACAAAACAUGUCCCAGUUUUCAUGCUACUACAGUAGUGUGCAUAACACUGUUAGCUCAGCAAACAGACAAAGGUAAAAUACUGUAUCCAGUACAGGUUACAAUUACAGUAAACAACAAACAUAAAAAAAUAAUCUGAAAAAAAACUGACAAUAUUGUACAGAAAAUACUACAGUAAACAUAGUAUACAUUAUCUCUUCACCUAGCUGGAUCUGGCCAGAGAAUUUCAUCAACAUCACAAGCAAUAUCCUCAUUAGCAAGACAACGCGGGAAGAACCGUCUUGAAUGUCGAAUCCAUCCUUGCAGAGCUGCGGCGUCGACUUGGUCACAGGCAUCCUCCAUGGCCUGAAUGAGGGGUACCUGAGCCUGGGGCUGGAGAUCGUAAACCUUCCACCGCCAUGCAGAGAAAAACUCUUCAAAAGGGUUUAGAAACGGAGAGUAUGGUGGAAGGUAUAGUACUGUCAACUGUGGAUGGUGUUGAAACCAGUUCUGGACCAAAGCAGAGCGGUGGAAUGACACAUUGUCCCAGAUGACAGUGUAUUGCAUCUGGUGCAUUUCAUUACCUGCUGUGACGAUGUGGUGCAAUCGGUCCAAAAAUGCGAGAAUGUGAGGUGUGUUGUAAGGGCCCAUUUUGGCAUGACGGAGGAGAACCCCAUGCUGUGAAAUGGCAGCGCAAAGGGUGAUGUUACCCCCACGUUGCC
This 15276-nucleotide long non-coding RNA is filed under the name Salmo salar (Atlantic salmon). RNAcentral's name for it is "lncRNA (ENSSSAG00000116066.1)". The record is from RNAcentral. Lineage: Eukaryota; Metazoa; Chordata; Actinopteri; Salmoniformes; Salmonidae.